GACGAACGCUGGCGGCGUGCUUAACACAUGCAAGUCGAACGGAAAGUGCUCUUCGGAGUGACUCGAGUGGCGAACGGGUGAGUAACACGUGGGUGAUCUGCCCUGCACUUUGGGAUAAGCCUGGGAAACUGGGUCUAAUACCGAAUAGGACCACGCGCUUCAUGGUGUGUGGUGGAAAGCUUUUGCGGUGUGGGAUGGGCCCGCGGCCUAUCAGCUUGUUGGUGGGGUAAUGGCCUACCAAGGCGACGACGGGUAGCCGGCCUGAGAGGGUGACCGGCCACACUGGGACUGAGAUACGGCCCAGACUCCUACGGGAGGCAGCAGUGGGGAAUAUUGCACAAUGGGCGCAAGCCUGAUGCAGCGACGCCGCGUGAGGGAUGACGGCCUUCGGGUUGUAACCUCUUUCAGUAGGGACGAAGCGCAAGUGACGGUACCUAUAGAAGAAGGACCGGCCAACUACGUGCCAGCCGCCGCGGUAA
This 479-nucleotide ribosomal RNA is filed under the name uncultured bacterium. Its description in RNAcentral is "partial 16S ribosomal RNA". It matches the Rfam family "Bacterial small subunit ribosomal RNA", at positions 28 to 523 of the family's 1533-position model. The record is from RNAcentral.